This 1549-nucleotide long non-coding RNA is filed under the name Rattus norvegicus (Norway rat). Its description in RNAcentral is "long non-coding RNA NONRATT023045". The record is from RNAcentral. Lineage: Eukaryota; Metazoa; Chordata; Mammalia; Rodentia; Muridae.
UCUUUUUGACUCAACAUUUGAGCUAUUAGACUAACUUCCCGAAGGAGAGAGCUCCAGUGGCGGGGUGGGUGGGAGCAGGGCAGUGCGUCUAACAAGGGCCUUCUGUGAUUUAAGAGGUUAGUCAGUAAACAUUUUUCCCUUUGAUUGGAAAACCUGAAAGUUAAAGAACCCACCAAAGAAGAGCUCAAGAAGGAGAGAGAGAAAGCUGUGCCUAGCAAGACUGAAGAGGGAAGAAGGGGGAAGAAGGAGCGGGAGGAUGGAAGGAAGGAGAAGAAAAAGUCUGACUCGGACAUAUCCCAGAAAGCGUCUCCUGGAGGUAAGAGAGACAGAGCGAAGGAGAAAGCCAGCUCAGAUAAAAGUGGGAAGUCCAAGGAAACCGUGAAAAAGGCAGCAGAGACAAAGUCCGUUCCUAGUAAAGUGGCUUCCACAGACAAAGACAGGAAAGGAAGAGGCUCCUCCAGCCAUGCUCCAGUCACAAAGGAAAAUAGCCAGAAGAGAAAGAACUGAAGGCCCAUCGUUAACACCCAGCAAUGGGUGACCUUCCUGACUCCGAUUUGCUGCUAAAGGGCAGAGGAAAUCCGGGAUUACUCGGACUGGGGAAAUGCUACAUAUUAACCACUGAAUGUGUUUAUUGGUGCUCAAUAAGUAACUUCUGUGAAACAAGCAUUCUUUGUCAUCUCGGUUUCCAAAAAAACAAAAAAAGAAAGUUUGUGUUCUAAAAUGUAAUAACCUACUUUUAUUGCUAUGUGUGAUAUGAACUGUAAUGGUUUUAAUCCUCCAUCAAAUGCUCCUGUUGAGGUAAGUAAGAAAGAAGCUGGAGCCUUGGGCAGUGUUAAUGUGCGGUGACGCAGCUAGGCAGGGUCUUCCCUUUCUACUCCCUUCCUGACUGUCUUGCCUGGCUCUCCCCAACUCCCAGCUCCCCCCAACCAACUCGCAGUUCUUCCAUGGCAGCCCCAGGCUACUGUCCCUGGCAUCUCCCUCCUCAUUCCUUAGGCCUUUUGCCCUGUAGCUCCUUCCCAGUUCGCUUUCCCUUCUCCCCCCAUCUCUCCCAUUCUCUGUCCAGGUUCAGCUCUCCCAGCCUUAGCCUUAUCUCUCACCUUCUUUCCCCUUAGGCCUCCUUAGUUGCCCCUCCUCUUCUUACCUAGCUUGCUGUUUUUACCCCUUCUUUCCAUUACAUAAUAACCACCACCACCACCACCACCACUACUACCACCACCAUAACCACAGAGAGCCUGUUCAUCCCGUACCGGACACAUCAUUCUGAGUUCUGUGUGUUGUCAAGAAUUAAAGAAUUUUGUGUAGGAGAGCAUUUCCAAAUGCUUUGUUUAUGUUAGCCUUAUGGAUUCUGAAUCCUCGAAAGGCUUCUUUUGGCUUCACCGCGGUACUGUACGACUCACCGAUUUUCAGCUGUUGUGGUUAGAUGGCCUAUAUCCUUGUGUUUGUGUAAUGACUAUUUAACCUAUCCAAACAGCCACAAAUUUGAGAUCAAACUUCUUAGCCCAUCGUAAACAAUUAAUAAAGAAAAUAUUAACGAGAGAGACAUUUCUUC